Molecule: ribosomal RNA, 2353 nt
Filed under: Escherichia coli UMEA 3323-1
Lineage: Bacteria; Pseudomonadati; Pseudomonadota; Gammaproteobacteria; Enterobacterales; Enterobacteriaceae
Description: bacterial LSU rRNA
Rfam family: Bacterial large subunit ribosomal RNA
Source: RNAcentral
GUGACUGCGUACCUUUUGUAUAAUGGGUCAGCGACUUAUAUUCUGUAGCAAGGUUAACCGAAUAGGGGAGCCGAAGGGAAACCGAGUCUUAACUGGGCGUUAAGUUGCAGGGUAUAGACCCGAAACCCGGUGAUCUAGCCAUGGGCAGGUUGAAGGUUGGGUAACACUAACUGGAGGACCGAACCGACUAAUGUUGAAAAAUUAGCGGAUGACUUGUGGCUGGGGGUGAAAGGCCAAUCAAACCGGGAGAUAGCUGGUUCUCCCCGAAAGCUAUUUAGGUAGCGCCUCGUGAAUUCAUCUCCGGGGGUAGAGCACUGUUUCGGCAAGGGGGUCAUCCCGACUUACCAACCCGAUGCAAACUGCGAAUACCGGAGAAUGUUAUCACGGGAGACACACGGCGGGUGCUAACGUCCGUCGUGAAGAGGGAAACAACCCAGACCGCCAGCUAAGGUCCCAAAGUCAUGGUUAAGUGGGAAACGAUGUGGGAAGGCCCAGACAGCCAGGAUGUUGGCUUAGAAGCAGCCAUCAUUUAAAGAAAGCGUAAUAGCUCACUGGUCGAGUCGGCCUGCGCGGAAGAUGUAACGGGGCUAAACCAUGCACCGAAGCUGCGGCAGCGACACUAUGUGUUGUUGGGUAGGGGAGCGUUCUGUAAGCCUGUGAAGGUGUACUGUGAGGUAUGCUGGAGGUAUCAGAAGUGCGAAUGCUGACAUAAGUAACGAUAAAGCGGGUGAAAAGCCCGCUCGCCGGAAGACCAAGGGUUCCUGUCCAACGUUAAUCGGGGCAGGGUGAGUCGACCCCUAAGGCGAGGCCGAAAGGCGUAGUCGAUGGGAAACAGGUUAAUAUUCCUGUACUUGGUGUUACUGCGAAGGGGGGACGGAGAAGGCUAUGUUGGCCGGGCGACGGUUGUCCCGGUUUAAGCGUGUAGGCUGAUUUUCCAGGCAAAUCCGGAAAAUCAAGGCUGAGGCGUGAUGACGAGGCACUACGGUGCUGAAGCAACAAAUGCCCUGCUUCCAGGAAAAGCCUCUAAGCAUCAGGUAACAUCAAAUCGUACCCCAAACCGACACAGGUGGUCAGGUAGAGAAUACCAAGGCGCUUGAGAGAACUCGGGUGAAGGAACUAGGCAAAAUGGUGCCGUAACUUCGGGAGAAGGCACGCUGAUAUGUAGGUGAAGUCCCUCGCGGAUGGAGCUGAAAUCAGUCGAAGAUACCAGCUGGCUGCAACUGUUUAUUAAAAACACAGCACUGUGCAAACACGAAAGUGGACGUAUACGGUGUGACGCCUGCCCGGUGCCGGAAGGUUAAUUGAUGGGGUUAGCGGUAACGCGAAGCUCUUGAUCGAAGCCCCGGUAAACGGCGGCCGUAACUAUAACGGUCCUAAGGUAGCGAAAUUCCUUGUCGGGUAAGUUCCGACCUGCACGAAUGGCGUAAUGAUGGCCAGGCUGUCUCCACCCGAGACUCAGUGAAAUUGAACUCGCUGUGAAGAUGCAGUGUACCCGCGGCAAGACGGAAAGACCCCGUGAACCUUUACUAUAGCUUGACACUGAACAUUGAGCCUUGAUGUGUAGGAUAGGUGGGAGGCUUUGAAGUGUGGACGCCAGUCUGCAUGGAGCCGACCUUGAAAUACCACCCUUUAAUGUUUGAUGUUCUAACGUUGGCCCCUGAUCGGGGUUGCGGACAGUGUCUGGUGGGUAGUUUGACUGGGGCGGUCUCCUCCUAAAGAGUAACGGAGGAGCACGAAGGUUGGCUAAUCCUGGUCGGACAUCAGGAGGUUAGUGCAAUGGCAUAAGCCAGCUUGACUGCGAGCGUGACGGCGCGAGCAGGUGCGAAAGCAGGUCAUAGUGAUCCGGUGGUUCUGAAUGGAAGGGCCAUCGCUCAACGGAUAAAAGGUACUCCGGGGAUAACAGGCUGAUACCGCCCAAGAGUUCAUAUCGACGGCGGUGUUUGGCACCUCGAUGUCGGCUCAUCACAUCCUGGGGCUGAAGUAGGUCCCAAGGGUAUGGCUGUUCGCCAUUUAAAGUGGUACGCGAGCUGGGUUUAGAACGUCGUGAGACAGUUCGGUCCCUAUCUGCCGUGGGCGCUGGAGAACUGAGGGGGGCUGCUCCUAGUACGAGAGGACCGGAGUGGACGCAUCACUGGUGUUCGGGUUGUCAUGCCAAUGGCACUGCCCGGUAGCUAAAUGCGGAAGAGAUAAGUGCUGAAAGCAUCUAAGCACGAAACUUGCCCCGAGAUGAGUUCUCCCUGACUCCUUGAGAGUCCUGAAGGAACGUUGAAGACGACGACGUUGAUAGGCCGGGUGUGUAAGCGCAGCGAUGCGUUGAGCUAACCGGUACUAAUGAACCGUGAGGCUUAACCUU